AAAUUUAGUGUUGUUGUCUUGUUCUGCCAGUCCAGCGGACAUAUGGGAGCUUGCUCCCUGAUGUUAGCGGCGGACGGGUGAUUAACACAGUGGGUAACCUGCCUGUAAGACUGGGAUAACUCCGGGAAACCGGGGCUAAUACCGGAUGCUUGUUUGAACCGCAUGGUUCAAACAUAAAAGGUGGCUUCGGCUACCACUUACAGAUGGACCCGCGGCGCAUUAGCUAGUUGGUGAGGUAAUGGCUCACCAAGGCGACGAUGCGUAGCCGACCUGAGAGGGUGAUCGGCCACACUGGGACUGAGACACGGCCCAGACUCCUACGGGAGGCAGCAGUAGGGAAUCUUCCGCAAUGGACGAAAGUCUGACGGAGCAACGCCGCGUGAGUGAUGAAGGUUUUCGGAUCGUAAAGCUCUGUUGUUAGGGAAGAACAAGUACCGUUCGAAUAGGGCGGUACCUUGACGGUACCUAACCAGAAAGCCACGGCUAACUACGUGCCAGCAGCCGCGGUAAUACGUAGGUGGCAAGCGUUGUCCGGAAUUAUUGGGCGUAAAGGGCUCGCAGGCGGUUUCUUAAGUCUGAUGUGAAAGCCCCCGGCUCAACCGGGGAGGGUCAUUGGAAACUGGGGAACUUGAGUGCAGAAGAGGAGAGUGGAAUUCCACUUGUAGCGGUGAAAUGCGUAGAGAUGUGGAGGAACACCAGUGGCGAAGGCAACUCUCUGGUCUGUAACUGACGCUGAGGAGCGAAAGCGUGGGGAGCGAACAGGAUUAGAUACCCUGGUAGUCCACGCCGUAAACGAUUGAGUGCUAAGUGUUAGGGGGGUUUCCGCCCCUUAGUGCUGCACAUAACGCAUUAAGCACUCCGCCUGGGGAAUUACGGUCCCAAAACUGAAACUCAAAGGGAAUUUGACGGGGGGCCCCGCACAAGCGGGGGAGCAUGUGGGUUUAAUUUCAAUGCAAUCGCGAAAGAAUCUUACCAGGGCUUAUGAACUCUCUCUGAAAUAUCCCUAAAAAAUAUGACGUU
Molecule: ribosomal RNA, 1020 nt
Filed under: Bacillus subtilis
Lineage: Bacteria; Bacillati; Bacillota; Bacilli; Caryophanales; Bacillaceae
Description: bacterial SSU rRNA
Rfam family: Bacterial small subunit ribosomal RNA
Source: RNAcentral